Long non-coding RNA from Sapajus apella (tufted capuchin), 116 nucleotides. RefSeq lists it as uncharacterized. The record is from RefSeq and is a predicted model, not a curated record. NCBI's taxonomy places the organism in Eukaryota, Metazoa, Chordata, Mammalia, Primates, Cebidae. The transcript is spliced from 2 exons.
GCGGUUCAUGCCUAUAAUCCCAGCACUUUGGGAGGCGGAGGCGGGCGGAUCACCUGAGGUCCAGAGUUCGGGAAGAGCCUGGCCAACAUGGUGAAAUCUCAUCUCUACUAAAAAUA